UAGGGAAUAUUGGUAAUCUGCGAAAGCGGGAACCAGCAACGCCGCGUGUGAGAUGACGGCCUUCGGGUUGUAAAGCACUUUUUGAGGGGAUGAGGAAGGACAGUACCCUCAGAAUAAGCCUCGGCUAACUACGUGCCAGCAGCCGCGGUAAAACGUAGGAGGCGAGCGUUAUCCGGAUUUACUGGGCGUAAAGCGUGUGUAGGCGGUUUGAUAAGUUGGAUGUGAAAGCUCCUGGCUCAACUGGGAGAGGUCGUUCUAAACUGCCGGACUAGAGGAUGGUAGAGGUAGGUGGAAUUCCGGGUGUAGCGGUGGAAUGCGCAGAUAUCCGGAGGAACACCAGUGGCGAAAGCGGCCUCCUGGACCACUCCUGACACUCAGACGCGAAAGCUAGGGUAGAAAUCG
This 402-nucleotide ribosomal RNA is filed under the name uncultured prokaryote. RNAcentral's name for it is "bacterial SSU rRNA". It matches the Rfam family "Bacterial small subunit ribosomal RNA", at positions 355 to 774 of the family's 1533-position model. The record is from RNAcentral.